This is an unclassified non-coding RNA of Homo sapiens (human), 265 nucleotides long. It matches the Rfam family "Metazoan signal recognition particle RNA". Rfam says of the family: The signal recognition particle (SRP) is a universally conserved ribonucleoprotein. It is involved in the co-translational targeting of proteins to membranes. Lineage: Eukaryota; Metazoa; Chordata; Mammalia; Primates; Hominidae. The record is from Ensembl.
GCCGGGUGUGGUGGCGCGUGCCUGUAAUCCCAGCUACUCAGGAGGCUGAGGCAGGAGAAUCGCUUGAACCCGGGAGGUGGAGGUUGCAGUGAGGUGAGAUUGCACCACUGCACUCCAGCCUGGGCAUGGUGGUGCGUGCCUGUAAUCCCAGCUACUUGGGAGGCUGAGGCAGAAGAAUCGCUUGAACCCGGGAGGUGGAGGUUGCAGUGAGCCGAGAUCACGCCACUGCACUCCAGCCUGGGCGAUAGAGCGAGACUCUAUCUCA